UACGGGGGGGGCAAGCGUUGUUCGGAAUUACUGGGCGUAAAGGGCUCGUAGGCGGCCAACUAAGUCGGAUGUGAAAUCCCCAGGCUUAACCUGGGAACUGCAUCCGAUACUGGAUGGCUUGAAUCCGGGAGAGGGAUGCAGAAUUCCAGGUGUAGCGGUGAAAUGCGUAGAUAUCUGGAGGAAUACCGGUGGCGAAGGCGGCUUCCUGGACCAGCACUGACGCUGAGGCGCGAAAGCUAGGGGAGCAAACAGG
RNAcentral lists this ribosomal RNA (253 nucleotides) under uncultured bacterium. Its description in RNAcentral is "partial 16S ribosomal RNA". It matches the Rfam family "Bacterial small subunit ribosomal RNA", at positions 524 to 776 of the family's 1533-position model. The record is from RNAcentral.